GGAUCCAUAGGGUAGAGGAUAUCCUCCUGGGCUUCGAACCCAGGGACGCGGGUUCGAUUCCCGCUGGGUCCG
RNAcentral lists this transfer RNA (72 nucleotides) under Methanofollis formosanus. It matches the Rfam family "tRNA". From Rfam's summary of the family: Transfer RNA (tRNA) molecules are approximately 80 nucleotides in length. The record is from Rfam by way of RNAcentral. Lineage: Archaea; Methanobacteriati; Methanobacteriota; Methanomicrobia; Methanomicrobiales; Methanomicrobiaceae.